AUUGAACGCUGGCGGAAUGCUUUACACAUGCAAGUCUAACGGCAGCACGGACUUCGGUCUGGUGGCGAGUGGCGAACGGGUGAGUAAUGUAUCGGAACGUGCCCAGUCGUGGGGGAUAACGUAGUGAAAAUUACGCUAAUACCGCAUACGAUCUAUGGAUGAAAGCGGGGGAUCGCAAGACCUCGCGCGAUUGGAUCGGCCGAUAUCAGAUUAGGUUGUUGGGGGGGUAAAGGCCCACAAAGCCAACGAUCUGUAGCUGGUCUGAGAGGACGACCAGCCACACUGGAACUGAGACACGGUCCAGACUCCGACGGGAGGAAUGAGUGUGUAAUUUUGGACAAGGGGCGAAAGCCUGUUCCAGCCAUUCCGCGUGCAGGAUGAAGGCCCUCGGGUUAUAAACUGCUUUUGUACAGAACGAAAAGGUUUCUACUAAUACUAGGAGCUCAUGACGGUACUGUAAGAAUAAGCACCGGCUAACUGCGUGCCAGCCGCCGCAGUAA
Molecule: ribosomal RNA, 500 nt
Filed under: uncultured bacterium
Lineage: Bacteria
Description: partial 16S ribosomal RNA
Rfam family: Bacterial small subunit ribosomal RNA
Source: RNAcentral